AGAUUGAACGCUGGCGGAAUGCUUUACACAUGCAAGUCGAACGGCAGCACGGGGGGCAACCCUGGUGGCGAGUGGCGAACGGGUGAGUAAUACAUCGGAACGUGCCCAGUCGUGGGGGAUAACUACGCGAAAGCGUAGCUAAUACCGCAUACGAUCUACGGAUGAAAGCGGGGGAUCGCAAGACCUCGCGCGAUUGGGAGCGGCCGAUGGCAGAUUAGCUAGUUGGUGGGGUAAAGGCCUACCGAAGGCGACGAUCGGUAGCUGGUCUGAGAGGACGACCAGCCACACGUGGACUGAGACACGGCCCAGACUCCGUACGGGAGCAGC
This 327-nucleotide ribosomal RNA is filed under the name uncultured soil bacterium. RNAcentral describes it as "bacterial SSU rRNA". It matches the Rfam family "Bacterial small subunit ribosomal RNA", at positions 26 to 352 of the family's 1533-position model. The record is from RNAcentral.